UGGGGGAUAUUGCACAAUGGGCGAAAGCCUGAUGCAGCGACGCCGCGUGGGGGAUGAAGGCCUUCGGGUUGUAAACUUCUUUUGCUCUGAACAAGGCAUGCUAAUGGGUGUGUUGAGUGUAGGGGUUGAUUAGCGCCGGCUAACUACGUGCCAGCAGCCGCGGUAAUACGUAGGGCGCGAGCGUUGUCCGGAAUUAUUGGGCGUAAAGGGCUUGUAGGUGGCUGGUUGCGUCUGUCGUGAAAGAUCAUGGCUUAACUGUGGGGUUGCGGUGGGUACGGGCUGGCUUGAGUGCAGUCGGGGAGGCUGGAAUUCCUGGUGUAGCGGUGGAAUGCGCAGAUAUCAGGAGGAAUACCGGUGGCGAAGGCGGGUCUCUGGGCUGUUACUGACACUGAGGAGCGAAAGCAUGGGGAGCGAACAGG
RNAcentral lists this ribosomal RNA (419 nucleotides) under bacterium. RNAcentral's name for it is "partial 16S ribosomal RNA". It matches the Rfam family "Bacterial small subunit ribosomal RNA", at positions 355 to 776 of the family's 1533-position model. The record is from RNAcentral.